UCUUCUUAAUCAGCAACUCCAGCAACUGCAGCAACUCCAGCACUACCCCAUUUUCGCUUUCUUAACUAUAGUUUUCAUGUUCCAAUUUGAAAUAUGAUUGCGAGUUCCGUAUUCUUAUUUGAUGUCGGCUUUGGCAUUUUUUUCUUUGGUAUUCUUAUCCAGGUUAAAGUGGAAAAGGUUUGUUACUCCCUUGCUCUCUUGAAAUAUCUUUUUAUAGAGAGAUUAGUUUGUCCUCUCUUUUAUUUUCCAUGAUUAUUUUUUUCAAAAAUUUAUUUUGAUCAAAACCAUUUGAUGGAGAAUUAGUUUUUAUUUAUCAAAUUUGAUUAAAGAUUUCGUGGGUUGACUGAUAACUCAAGUCUACAGUCUGUACAUACUUGUUGUUUUUUUUUGUUCGAGUUUUGCAAUUUAGGGUAAGUAGCCUGUGCCGGGAAUAUGGUUUUUUAGAACCGGAAACCUUGUCUUCUUGCUCUCACCAGCAGGGUACCGCCGCAACAGUUGAAUGAGUUGUACGAUGGAAAACAUGAUUUAGCAAGAAGAUCCGUACACAUUCGUAGUUUAGUAACAGUUAGAGAAUCUCCUUUCUCCAUGGAUUAAUGCAAUUGCUCAAGAGCCUUCAUGCAAUUAGUUACUUGAGUUCGAUGAUGUUUUUGGUGAUGAAGUUGCAUGCUGAUUUGUCCACUAAUCACUGGUUCAAGAGCACUAUAAUCAUAAGGAAGAUCAAGAAGUCAGAAUGUUUGAAACUCUCUAUAAAACCCUGAUAUCAGUUUAUGUGAUUUCAACCAUGUUAAUCUGUUUUCUGCUGAGUAGGGUACGAAUAGCAUCCAGUGGUGAUGGAUUCUCUAAUUAAUAAGGUUAAUGGUUCAUCUUAACAGACCUUUUCUUUUUUCCUCCUCAUCAGUUUCUUUCUAUUUGUACGACAUCGUUAGCCAUGCGUUUUCCAUUGUUUGUUUGUCAGUGUAUCUGUUACAUUAGUAAUUCAAUUAAAUCGAAGAAAGGAAAAUAUUUGAUCGAUGGAAAAAAAAA
Long non-coding RNA from Papaver somniferum (opium poppy), 1023 nucleotides. RefSeq lists it as uncharacterized. The record is from RefSeq and is a predicted model, not a curated record. The transcript has 2 exons. Lineage: Eukaryota; Viridiplantae; Streptophyta; Magnoliopsida; Ranunculales; Papaveraceae.